This 21-nucleotide non-coding RNA is filed under the name Caenorhabditis elegans. The record is from RNAcentral. Lineage: Eukaryota; Metazoa; Nematoda; Chromadorea; Rhabditida; Rhabditidae.
UUUGCAUACGUUUUUUUCCUC